This 3247-nucleotide long non-coding RNA is filed under the name Fragaria vesca (wild strawberry). Its description in RNAcentral is "long non-coding RNA (FVES_LNC005410)". Lineage: Eukaryota; Viridiplantae; Streptophyta; Magnoliopsida; Rosales; Rosaceae. The record is from RNAcentral.
UUAUUGAUAGAUUAUUCUUGUGGAAUAUCUAUAUUUGUUCAUGUAAAUAUAUCUAUGUGGAAGGAUAUAAUUAUGAUGUGAUCUUGUGUUGUUGAUGAUAAUGUUGUGAUAUUGUGAUUGUUGGAUAAAUAGCCAAACCGGGUUCCAAGCCUUUAAUUGGGUGAUUGGUUGCGGUUAAGAUGCUAUUUAUCAUUUUUGUGUUUUGAUAUUAAAUAGUCAAACCGGGUUCCAAGCCUUUAAUUGGGUGAUUGGUUACGGUUAUGAUACUAUUUUUAUUUUGUUAUUUGUUAUUGGAUAAUCAAACUGGAUUCUAAGCCUUUGGCUAGGUGAUUGAUUACAGUUAUAAAUAGAGCUCUAGUCCGUCUGUCGGUGUAGGUCAUGGGAGAUACCUUAUGGUAUCUGGGACCCAUGGGUACACAAAUUGUUGUUGUAGGUCAUGAGAGGUAUUUAUUAAUAUGUGGGACUCAUGGGUACAUGUUAUUUGUAAAAGUGUUGAAAAUGUGGUUUUAACAUUGUUCUUAAUUGUUGUCAAUUAAAUUUCUUGUUUUGAGUAUUUCCUGAACUAUCCUUUUUGCAGGAUUCACUUAUGAUUUUGAUUGUUUUGAAAAUUAUUGUGUUUUCUUAUUUACCCUAUUUUGAAUUUUAUUGUUUUGAGGCGAUUCCUGAACUAAGUUCUAAAACAGGAAUUACCGGUUUUAUCUUAUGUGAUGAGUUAUUUUUGGGAGUUACUCAUACAGGCUUUUUAGCUUACCGGGUUUGUUGUUUACAACCCGAUGCACCAAUUCAUGGUGUAGGGGUUAGACCUGCAGGUGUUGAUCAGCAUGGUUGAAGCGGAGGCAUAGUGGCAGGAUUUUAGCUUCUGUGCACUUUAUUUUGUUUGUAUAUUAUUGCACUUUGUUUUUAAGCUCAUGUGAGCGUCCUUAUUUUACUAGACUUUUGAAGUUAAUGUAAUUAAGGAGAUGUAAUGUUUAAUUCAGUUGUUGAGUUUUGUUGACAUUUACACUUCUAGCAUUUGAGUUUAGUUUGGAAGUUGUUGAGCAGGUUUUGUGAUUUUAAGAUGUUAGGAUAUAUCAUGCCCAAAUUUUUGAAAAUUAUCCUUCGAAAAUUGGGGUGUGACAUGAAGGGUCAAGAGUUGACUUUUUAAUCUGUUGGGUUUCUCGAGAACCUUCUUUCACGAAAGUUGUAAAGCACGACGAUACGAGUUCGUAGACACGUGGCACGCGUAAAACGGACUUCGUAUGAGAAAGUUAUGGUCAGCAGAAGUUCGUGGCUUUACAGGAUUAUGGGUUUAUUAAGAAAGUUAGGGUUCCCAUUUCAUUAUUUUCAUAAACCUCAUUUCUUUCUCCCUCUCCCUCUCUCUCCCCCCGAACCCUCACUAUCAGCGUUCUCCAACCGACCCGACCCGGACCCGGUCAACCCGACCCGAUUUUUCUGGCCAACUCCGACGGACUCAGACGGCGGCACCGGCUGGAACUCUUCCUCUCCUCGACGCAAUCCUCCCUGUGUUGGUGAGUGAGGAUGACUCAAGCGGAUCAGUGCUAAUCGAGCGCCACAAUGAGGGUGGCGACCUGGUUUGCAACCCGAUCGAAAUUCCACCUCCGGCGGCGACAAGGCCUAAAAUCGGUCAGGAUAGGAAGGUCUAGGUGCCCAUGUUCGAUCCUUGGUGGUCUCUGGAAGCUUGAAUCACUGUGUGUAGUUGCUGUGGUGGAUUCUAACUUUUCGGUGAGUUUUCCGGCGUGCUCCGAUCGAUUUGGCGGUUACUCUAGGUAUGAAAAUUGCUCCCCUUACCUUAUUGUUCAUGUUGGGUAUAGUGGGUACGCUUUUUGUUGCAGGGUUGUAUGGUGGUGCGUGGGGCCCACUCGCUACCGUCGGUGGUGGCGCGUGGCGGCGCGUCCGAGAGGAGAUUGGUGACGUGCCCAUUACCGGGCAUGCGACAAUUAAAAACCCUUUUUGACAAUCGUAAUAUAAGGCAAAUAAGGUUCGAUCAAUCCGAGGACUAACGGUGCUCCUGUAACAAUAGUCAUGUAAAAGUUAGUACUAUAAACAAGUAUUCACAUAUUUACAAAGAUAAACUGGGGGUUUUGAGGUUUGUUUUAAUGUUCCUACUAAAAGAUAAAGAUACAAGCUAAACUAAUAUAUACAAGUGAUCGAUUCAUUCAUUGCAUCAACAAAGAGAGAGACUCAAUUUCUAACCACAAAAUUAGAGAGACGUUUCAAUCCUAAACAAUCUGAAUUAUAUCAACUCAACUACUAGCAACAACCUCAAGUACAUACUGAUCCAGCUAUGCACCCAUAGAUUCUUCUUAGCUUAUCAUCUUUAAUUCGUACACCACGCAAUCAAAGAUUAUUUCAUGCAUAGGCUGCUAUCAAUGCUACAAGCAUCUGUCUACUCUAAACAUGAAUCAUUAAGUUCUAAAGAAUCGAGAUUGAACAUAUAUAACUCGGUGAUGAAAUCCCACUUAUUACUAUGCAACCUAUGUUCUCAACUACUCACCAUAGUUUCCACUACUAUAGAUCAAUGCUUACCACACUGGCAUAGCACUAAAUCAUGGCAUACCGUUAACAUGCAUUUUGGAGUCUAUUCAAACACAAACAUAGCUUUACUAAUACAAGAGUUAACAUAACCAGAUUGCAAAGAAUAUCAUAAACAAAACUUUAACAUGCUUUACUAAAAUAUGAAUCCACUAAUAUCAAACAACCAAAACAAACAUCCAAUUCCAUUGAUGAAAACCGAAUCCAUGUUCUCAAAAUUGAAAAGAAAACUAAACAACUGUAGAGGCAUAGUCCACACUUUUUUUGAUCUUCAAGAAGCUUGAUGAUGAAAAAGAGGUGCUACGGCUUCAAGGCUCCUACUCUCCAAGGCUGCCGCGCUUGAUACAACGUCAAGGCUAGGGCAAAAGGAAGGGAACUCGCAAGGGAAAGGAAGCUGCUUGGCUGCUCUCUAUUUCUCUAAGGUGUUUGCGUGAAUGAAUGAUGAUUAUUUAUGAAGCCAAGCAGCCUUUAUAUAGUGUCCAUGAAUUGCUCUUGGCCCUUGAUUCAAUCUUGAUUCAACGGUCCUCCUUGAUUGCAUAAAAUCUGAUAUUUAUCUUCGCUGAUAUUUUCCUUAUCUUCAAAGAUAUUUAUCUUAUCUCUAAAGAUAUUUCUAGAAAUGUGCAAUCAUGCUUUGAAUGUAGCUUGAAUCAUGUCUGAAUACAUUACUUAGCCUCCAAGAGUCUUCAUAGAUCUUCAUUUAGGAUUACUUGUUCAA